This is a long non-coding RNA of Ochotona curzoniae (black-lipped pika), 354 nucleotides long. RefSeq lists it as uncharacterized. NCBI's taxonomy places the organism in Eukaryota, Metazoa, Chordata, Mammalia, Lagomorpha, Ochotonidae. The transcript has 2 exons. The record is from RefSeq and is a predicted model, not a curated record.
UGGUGUGUGCUUGCCUGAAUAAAUGCUUGAAUGCUUGAUUGCAAAGCAUCCACUCUCGACUCUUGGCAUUUGUUCUGGUGACCGGGCUCGGUGUUCGCGACAGUUGGCGUAGUCGGCAGGAUCCUCGGAGGACACAAUUCCAGCUCCAACCCCAGCUUGGAGGAUCGAGGAGGACGAACACCCGGAUUGACUCCACUCUACUUGUCCCAGACAAGGCAAUUGGCAGAGACAGGAAGAAUAAGGCCCUAUAUACGACGGACAUCGUCGCACAGGGACCAGGACACUCAUUUUGGACUACAUCAGGUAAAGGCGAAUUACGCCUCACCAAGUCUGAUGAUUUAAUUGCAAGAUGAU